AAUAUUGGGACAUAUAAAAAAAGACAACUCUGUUCUGCAGAGUAGCUGUUGACAUUAUAGUUGCUCAGGAACUUUGUUGACUCUAGAGAACCUCGGGCAAAUCGCACAUCCCCGUGAUGGCGACUUUGCAUGCGGAUGUCAUCCAUAUCAACUUUCGAUGCCAGUUUCUGCGCCUACCAUGGUGACCACGGGUAACGCGGAAUCAGGAUUCCAUUCCGUACAGGGACCCUGAGAAACGGCUACCACAUGCAAGGAAGGCAGCAGGCGCGCAAAUGACCCACUCCCAACGCGGGAAGGUAGUGA
This is a non-coding RNA of Pelobates cultripes (western spadefoot toad), 303 nucleotides long. NCBI's taxonomy places the organism in Eukaryota, Metazoa, Chordata, Amphibia, Anura, Pelobatidae. The record is from the annotation of a GenBank genome assembly.